RNAcentral lists this non-coding RNA (31 nucleotides) under Homo sapiens (human). Lineage: Eukaryota; Metazoa; Chordata; Mammalia; Primates; Hominidae. The record is from RNAcentral.
UGAACUGUAGCACACCAGGCUGCCACGCCCU